Molecule: transfer RNA, 72 nt
Filed under: bacterium
Lineage: Bacteria
Also listed under: 4 other names
Description: tRNA-Val
Rfam family: tRNA
About the family: Transfer RNA (tRNA) molecules are approximately 80 nucleotides in length. Their secondary structure includes four short double-helical elements and three loops (D, anti-codon, and T loops).
Source: RNAcentral
GGGCGAUUAGCUCAGUGGUAGAGCACUCGCUUCACACGCGAGGGGUCACUGGUUCGAACCCAGUAUCGCCCA